UGAGGAAUAUUGGUCAAUGGGCGGAAGCCUGAACCAGCCAUGCCGCGUGAAGGAAGAAGGUCCUAUGGAUUUUAAACUUCUUUUGUCGGAGAGCAAUAAGGGUCUCGAGAGAUCCGAUGAGAGUAUCCGACGAAUAAGCAUCGACUAACUCCGUGCCAGCAGCCGCGGUAAUACGGGGGAUGCGAGCGUUAUCCGGAUUUUAUUGGGUUUAAAGGGUGCGUAGGCGGAAGUGCAAGUCAGCGGUGAAAUCCCCGCGCUCAACGCGGGAGUUGCCGUUGAUACUGUACAUCUGGAAUGCUCUUGCCGUGGGAGGAAUGAGUAGUGUAGCGGUGAAAUGCAUAGAUAUUACUCAGAACACCGAUUGCGAAGGCAUCUCACGAAGGGGCGAUUGACGCUGA
RNAcentral lists this ribosomal RNA (398 nucleotides) under uncultured bacterium. RNAcentral describes it as "bacterial SSU rRNA". It matches the Rfam family "Bacterial small subunit ribosomal RNA", at positions 355 to 749 of the family's 1533-position model. The record is from RNAcentral.